ACUCUUCAACCCUCCAUUUCCUCGUUUGAAAUGUUUUGAGGUGAUUGGAUUUUGAGUACUUGCUCUUUUAUCAAAAUUAGCUUACUCGUAAUACAUUAGCACAAUUCAACUUCGAACUCGGAUUGACUCGGCGUAAUAGACUAUUCGCUGAGGACAUUGAGAAUUAAUUUUCUCUAAUGGCCGACUUUAGACGAUUUGAAUAGCUUCAAAUACUAUAAACCUUUUUUAAGAU
RNAcentral lists this unclassified non-coding RNA (232 nucleotides) under uncultured Microbotryomycetes. RNAcentral describes it as "sequence contains ITS2". The record is from RNAcentral. Lineage: Eukaryota; Fungi; Basidiomycota; Microbotryomycetes.